Molecule: long non-coding RNA, 1441 nt
Filed under: Mytilus galloprovincialis (Mediterranean mussel)
Lineage: Eukaryota; Metazoa; Mollusca; Bivalvia; Mytilida; Mytilidae
Source: RNAcentral
UCCAGAGUGUUCGAUUCUUGGUGAUCUCCUAGAAAUGGCAAUGAAGCAUAAACAUGAUAAAAGUCCAGGUACGUUAUAUAACUUAUUCCUUGUGGAAGUGUUCAAAGACUACUUUGCUACAUUUGACAAAUAUGCUACUGUUGAGUUUUAUCUUUAGUGUCAUUAAAGUUUACACGUUCAUGAACUAAAUAAUGGAUGUUUCUGAAUUAAUUUUCUUUUUUGUACACACUACAAACUUAUCUUAUACACUUGACACACUGAAAUAGAAUUAAGAAUAACAGUACUGCAGUUGAAGAGUUGCACCUUCAAUUGUCAGUUUGACGGUCCCAAAUGCAGUUUACUGGCAACACAUAGUGGAGACAGUUAAAACAGAUAUUUGAGACCUUCAAAUCAAAAUUGACGGUAGCAACUCUUUAACUACAGUACUGUUAUUCCGAUUCUAUGCAUUACAAAAAAGAAAUGAUACGUUAAAGCUUGAAAAAAAUUAUAAUUUGACAUACAAACAAAUUCCACAAAACUUCAUAAAUGAUUUUAUGCGCAAGGACGUCAUGGCUAAACCAUGACGUCAUACAAAUGAAAACUUACAAACGGGAUGUUAAUACGUUACCCCUACAAUUCAAAUUCAGAUAAAAUUUAUAUUAAAAAGGUGAAUUAGAGGAAGGUGUUAUUUUGAUUUGCGAUAUUAUUGUAGUAAUCGAACAUUUGUUCAAUUUAAAAUGGCAGGUCCUUCCUUAUUAACGCCUGGUCAAUUGUGGAUUUGACGGUAAGUUUUAGCCAAUGAAAAAAAUUGUUACAUAAAAAUUGCAUUAGAAUAAUAAAUUGAUGUUAAUAUUUUCUCUAUAUAAUGCUUACACUUCAAGCAAUUUUGGUAAUUUUCAAGAUGUGGAAAAUAAUUGUCAUUUGUAAACUUUAUUUCUUAUAUCCAUUUUAGAUAAGGUCUGUCAGUGUCAAAGUAGAACCAAAAUCCCAGCAUUUUCAUCAAUACUAACUCAACCACAAACCCCUGGAGACAAUGGCGUUAUCAAGUUUGACAAAGUUGUCACGAAUAUACUCAAUGGCUACAAUCCAACCACUGGUAUUUUUACUGCACCUGUUGCUGGAGUUUAUCAGUUUUCUUAUACAGUCAUGAGCUCUGCUGGAAAAUAUCUGCAUGUCUACCUGUCUCAUAAUAAUACCAAACAACAAAGUGUUUGGCUGAGAGGUUCUACUCAUGAGACGGAACAGCAAUAUAAUAUUAAAUCUGAAGAAAGGAGACCAUGUUUGAAGUUAAAGUCCCAUGGCAGUCAAACAAUUCAUAGUAAUAGUAAUCACUAGUAUAGUUCAUUUUCUGGAUUUCUCAUAGCACAAUAAAAGAAAUUAAACUAUAAGUUUAUUGUUAAAUUGUAGAUUGAAGAUUUGAAAGUCUGUGCCUUUUGCCAUCAAUCAAUGAUACAUUUUGUUU